RNAcentral lists this ribosomal RNA (449 nucleotides) under uncultured bacterium. RNAcentral's name for it is "partial 16S ribosomal RNA". It matches the Rfam family "Bacterial small subunit ribosomal RNA", at positions 29 to 523 of the family's 1533-position model. The record is from RNAcentral.
AGCGAACGCUGGCGGCAGGCCUAACACAUGCAAGUCGAACGAACUCUUCGGAGUUAGUGGCGGACGGGUGAGUAACACGUGGGAACGUGCCUUUAGGUUCGGAAUAACUCAGGGAAACUUGUGCUAAUACCGAAUGUGCCCUUCGGGGGAAAGAUUUAUCGCCUUUAGAGCGGCCCGCGUCUGAUUAGCUAGUUGGUGAGGUAAAGGCUCACCAAGGCGAUGAUCAGUAGCUGGUCUGAGAGGAUGAUCAGCCACAUUGGUACUGAGACACGGCCCAAACACCUACGGGGGGCAGAAGUGGGAAAUCUGGCGAAAUGGGGAAAAGCCUGACGAAGCCUGUCGGCGUGAUUGAUAAGGGUCUUAGGAUUGUAAAAUUCUUCCACCGGGGACGAUAAUGCCGGUACCCGGAUAAGAGGCCCCGGCUAACUUCGUGCCAGCCGCCGCGGUAA